CAGGUCUUGACAUCCUCUGACAACUCUAGAGAUAGAGCGUUCCCCUUCGGGGGACAGAGUGACAGGUGGUGCAUGGUUGUCGUCAGCUCGUGUCGUGAGAUGUUGGGUUAAGUCCCGCAACGAGCGCAACCCUUGAUCUUAGUUGCCAGCAUUUAGUUGGGCACUCUAAGGUGACUGCCGGUGACAAACCGGAGGAAGGUGGGGAUGACGUCAAAUCAUCAUGCCCCUUAUGACCUGGGCUACACACGUGCUACAAUGGAUGGUACAAAGGGCUGCAAGACCGCGAGGUCAAGCCAAUCCCAUAAAACCAUUCUCAGUUCGGAUUGUAGGCUGCAACUCGCCUACAUGAAGCUGGAAUCGCUAGUAAUCGCGGAUCAGCAUGCCGCGGUGAAUACGUUCCCGGGCCUUGUACACACCGCCCGUCACACCACGAGAGUUUGUAACACCCGAAGUCGGUGGAGUAACCGUAAGGAGC
RNAcentral lists this ribosomal RNA (475 nucleotides) under Priestia megaterium. RNAcentral describes it as "bacterial SSU rRNA". It matches the Rfam family "Bacterial small subunit ribosomal RNA", at positions 975 to 1449 of the family's 1533-position model. Lineage: Bacteria; Bacillati; Bacillota; Bacilli; Caryophanales; Bacillaceae. The record is from RNAcentral.